Molecule: ribosomal RNA, 253 nt
Filed under: uncultured bacterium
Lineage: Bacteria
Description: partial 16S ribosomal RNA
Rfam family: Bacterial small subunit ribosomal RNA
Source: RNAcentral
UACGUAGGGGGCAAGCGUUGUCCGGAUUUAUUGGGCGUAAAGGGUGCGCAGGCGGCCAAGUGUGUUAGGCGUGAAAGCCCGGGGCUUAACCCCGGAAUUGCACCUAAAACUACUUGGCUAGAGCAUUGGAGAGGGUAGCGGAAUUCACGGUGUAGCAGUGAAAUGCGUAGAUAUCGUGAGGAACACCAGAGGCGAAGGCGGCUACCUGGACAAUUGCUGACGCUCAGGCACGAAAGCGUGGGGAGCAAAAGGG